AACGGUUAUUUCAUAUCAAAUUUAGUGAAGAAUAAAUUUGUUCUUUAAUUCUCUACAAUAAAAGGAGUGAAAAGGAAUGAAAAAGAAUAACUAUUCCUAAUCUAACUAUAUUAAAAGGGGAAUAAGAUCAAAGGGGAAGCUGUCCACGUCGACAAAAAAAAUCGUCUAAUAGGAAAUCAGAGUUUUGCCACGUCAGAUGCGACGCCAUCGUCAUUUGGGCUUCAAAGCCUACGUUUUUUUUGUGUUUCGUCAUCGUCCAUAUUCGAUAAGCCCCUGAAGCCCAGACUUUUUUCUCUCCUAAUUUCUUUCUUUCUAUUUGGGUGUUUGUUGGGCUAUUCCGGAAAAUAUACUUUGGCCCAUCUUCUAUUAGAGGUUUCUCUAAACGACCACAAAAUCUCUGUCACUCUUCGCCUCCUUCACACUCCGGCCAUCUCCCCUGUAACGUCAUCCAUUUUUGUGUAACAUCCCUUUAAUCUCAGCAUUUACUUUGAACCCACUACCUAUCCCACUCUCUAUCAAUUAAACAUCGUUAUUAUCAUCAAAGGUAACGGCUUGAAGCUCUAGAGUAUAAAUAUGUUUCUUCUCCACGAUGUAGACCUACACUGCUACAAAAUCUCAAAGUCCAGAUGUUGUAAAGCUUCAAUUCCAACUAUGUCGUCUCAAUAGCUUCAAUUUAAGUUGAAGGCUGGUUGGUGUAAGGCGACUGUUGUCACCCGGCUCCUCGGUUUCAGGCGAGAAAGGGAAACACUUUGAGAAGCAGGUUGGUUUCUAAUAAGGGAACGUAGCGGAACAUUGAAACAAAGGAAGGUUAAAGGAGAGAUAAGAGAGGGCAAGCGAGAGUAAACCAGUUGUGGAUCCAGUUCAGUAAGUAACAUUAUCCUUCUCUAAGAUCCAAUUAUUUAUUCCUCUGAUCUUGAAUUGACGAAUUGAUCCAGUUGUCUAUUUCAACUGAGUUCAUUCACGUCUUUGUAUUCUUAGAAAUGAUAUGAUUUUUGAACGAUUGCUGGACUUUCAAAAUUGUUAAGUGAUCAUUCAUAGGCAUAUUGAAGAAAAGGGAUUCAACUUCUGCUCGCUCCUCUACUUUCCCGACACGCUUACCACAAUUGGGGCAGUCUCUCUAUGUCGGAGUCACAUGUCAUCUUAUUGAUUAACGUUCGGGUCAAACUUUCGACAUGAUGGUUGCUUGGGAAUCCUUCUGAUGCAAGCCGCUCAUUGCUCAAUGUAAGCCUCUUUGGAUUUCUGCGUUUGCAAUCUGGUGAGUAAAUAUCAGAUAUGAUCGUGUUGACUUCUUCAUCAGCUGGUGCUCCGCCUCAUUUCUUUGUUAGUGACAAGUUUCGAAUGGACUAGAAAGGUAAGUAAACACUUUCAUUUCUUCAGGUAAAAUUUAACUGAAAUAUGAAUCUUCGAAAAUCCUUGAAUACUUUCUAGAACAAAAAAAAAAACUAAACACAUUGUGCUGACAGUUUCUGGUUCAGGAACUCAAAAGAGGUGAAAACAUUACAAAAAACUUCCUGGGUAUUUCGACCACUGGCAUCAUGCCUCUUCACAUCAGAGGUGCGUCGAGGGAAACCAUUUGUUGAAAUAGUUUAUACCCGUAAAACAAGAAGGUUAUGAUUUCUAUCUAUUAAAAAGUAGUAACACCACGUUGAUCCACUAAUGAUAUACUGUUCAUACACUUUCUUACUAGCAAUGCUCUUAUCUUAAGGUGAGGUCGAGGCUAUCCGCAUCCUUUAUGUCCCACCAGUCAUACCAAUGCGGAAGGAUGACAUGGUUAAUCAGAAUACAAAGAACAUAAGGCUCUAUGUACGAGUUUUCAUUCGAUGAUUGUGAUGGGGAGUUGGUGAGAGAAGCGUUUCUUGGUGUGGCCUUUCAAGAAAUCUAUAUUUCUAUUUUGUCUUCUAUCUGCUUUUGUGGUGUUUUGGUGCUUCGGAAACUGUUUCCUUGCACACGAUCUUUCACUGAGCUGUGUCAUGAGAUUUUCAAGAAAGAUGUAUCCCAUACAUCAGAAUGAGGCUUUGUUCACAAAACCCCAAGUCAAGUUGAAGAGUCAAGACAAACUAAGUGUUCUGUCCUCUUUCUCUGCUCAGCUCAACGGUAAGAAUAGAGGAGGUGACAGUCAGUCAAGGUACGGCAAAGCUGAAGAAUCAAAUCGAGCUGCAUAAUAGAUUUGGGGCUCUUGGAUCUCGAACUGUGACGUGUCGUUAGUACACGAGCUAUGUGCUUUAGGGUUUCUGUAAUCUUCUAUAUUGGCAACUCUCUGUAAAUGCUAAGCUAAAAGAUACUCAAAGUUUUUACAAA
Molecule: long non-coding RNA, 2298 nt
Organism: Raphanus sativus (radish)
Lineage: Eukaryota; Viridiplantae; Streptophyta; Magnoliopsida; Brassicales; Brassicaceae
Exons: 2
Source: RefSeq, a predicted model, not a curated record